AGCAUAAAUUAUAGCACUCUGAAACCACUGUUCUCUGCUGAUUUUGAAAGCUAAGCAAGAGCAGGCCUGAACAGUAGUUGGAUAAGAGACUACCUGGAACCUUGAGGUAAGGCUA
RNAcentral lists this ribosomal RNA (115 nucleotides) under Pogona vitticeps (central bearded dragon). The record is from RNAcentral. Lineage: Eukaryota; Metazoa; Chordata; Lepidosauria; Squamata; Agamidae.